GGGGUUGUGGAUCAGUGGCAGAACGCUCACCUAGCAUGUGUGAGGCACUGGGUUCAAUCCUCAGCACCACA
Molecule: transfer RNA, 71 nt
Filed under: Marmota monax (woodchuck)
Lineage: Eukaryota; Metazoa; Chordata; Mammalia; Rodentia; Sciuridae
Description: tRNA.Ala
Source: RNAcentral